GAGUUUGAUCCUGGCUCAGGACGAACGCUGGCGGUGCUUAACACAUGCAAGUCGAACGGAAAGGCAGCUUGCUGGGUACUCGAGUGGCGAACGGGUGAGUAACACGUGGGUGAUCUGCCCUGCACUCUGGGAUAAGCCUGGGAAACUGGGUCUAAUACCGGAUAGGACCAUGGGAUGCAUGUUCUGUGGUGGAAAGCUUUUGCGGUGUGGGAUGGGCUCGCGGCCUAUCACUUGUUGGUGGGGUAAUGGCCUACCAAGGCGACGACGGGUAGCCGACCUGAGAGGGUGAUGGCCACACUGGGACUGAGACACGGCCCAACUCCUACGGGAGGCAGCAGUGGGGAAUAUUGCACAAUGGGCGCAAGCCUGAUGCAGCGACGCCGCGUGAGGGAUGACGGCCUUUGGUUGUAAACCUCUUUCGCUAGGGACGAAGCGCAGUGACGGUACCUGGAGAAGAAGCACCCGCCAACUACGUGCCAGCAGCCGCGGUAAUACGUAGGUGCGAGCGUUGUCCCGGAAUUAUUGGCGUAAAGAACUCGUAGUGGGUGGUCACGUCUGCUUUGGAAACCAACGCUUAACGUUUGCCGUCAGUGGGGUACCGGCUUACUAAAAUGCAAAGGGAGUCUGGAAUUCCUGGGGAGCGGGGAAAAUGCCCAAUAUUAAGAGGA
RNAcentral lists this ribosomal RNA (668 nucleotides) under uncultured Gordonia sp. RNAcentral describes it as "bacterial SSU rRNA". It matches the Rfam family "Bacterial small subunit ribosomal RNA", at positions 9 to 705 of the family's 1533-position model. The record is from RNAcentral. Lineage: Bacteria; Bacillati; Actinomycetota; Actinomycetes; Mycobacteriales; Gordoniaceae.